RNAcentral lists this ribosomal RNA (907 nucleotides) under uncultured bacterium. RNAcentral describes it as "bacterial SSU rRNA". It matches the Rfam family "Bacterial small subunit ribosomal RNA", at positions 45 to 946 of the family's 1533-position model. The record is from RNAcentral.
GGCUUACACAUGCAAGUCGAGGGGCAGCAUCAUCAAAGCUUGCUUUGAUGGAUGGCGACCGGCGCACGGGUGAGUAACACGUAUCCAACCUGCCGACAACACUGGGAUAGCCUUUCGAAAGAAAGAUUAAUACCGGAUGGCAUAAUUAUUCCGCAUGGGAUAAUUAUUAAAGAAUUUCGGUUGUCGAUGGGGAUGCGUUCCAUUAGGCAGUUGGCGGGGUAACGGCCCACCAAACCUACGAUGGAUAGGGGUUCUGAGAGGAAGGUCCCCCACAUUGGAACUGAGACACGGUCCAAACUCCUACGGGAGGCAGCAGUGAGGAAUAUUGGUCAAUGGACGAGAGUCUGAACCAGCCAAGUAGCGUGAAGGAUGACUGCCCUAUGGGUUGUAAACUUCUUUUAUACGGGAAUAAAGUGAGCCACGUGUGGCUUUUUGUAUGUACCGUAUGAAUAAGGAUCGGCUAACUCCGUGCCAGCAGCCGCGGUAAUACGGAGGAUUCGAGCGUUAUCCGGAUUUAUUGGGUUUAAAGGGAGCGUAGGCGGGUUGUUAAGUCAGUUGUGAAAGUUUGCGGCUCAACCGUAAAAUUGCAGUUGAUACUGGCGACCUUGAGUGCAACAGAGGUAGGCGGAAUUCGUGGUGUAGCGGUGAAAUGCUUAGAUAUCACGAAGAACUCCGAUUGCGAAGGCAGCUUACUGGAUUGUAACUGACGCUGAUGCUCGAAAGUGUGGGUAUCAAACAGGAUUAGAUACCCUGGUAGUCCACACAGUAAACGAUGAAUACUCGCUGUUGGCGAUAUACAGUCAGCGGCCAAGCGAAAGCAUUAAGUAUUCCACCUGGGGAGUACGCCGGCAACGGUGAAACUCAAAGGAAUUGACGGGGGCCCGCACAAGCGGAGGAACAUGUGGUU